CAGGCUUAACACAUGCAAGUCGAGGGGCAUCAGGAAGAAAGCUUGCUUUCUUUGCUGGCGACCGGCGCACGGGUGAGUAACACGUAUCCAACCUGCCCUUUACUCGGGGAUAGCCUUUCGAAAGAAAGAUUAAUACCCGAUGGCAUAAUGAUUCCGCAUGGUUUCAUUAUUAAAGGAUUCCGGUAAAGGAUGGGGAUGCGUUCCAUUAGGUUGUUGGUGAGGUAACGGCUCACCAAGCCUUCGAUGGAUAGGGGUUCUGAGAGGAAGGUCCCCCACAUUGGAACUGAGACACGGUCCAAACUCCUACGGGAGGCAGCAGUGAGGAAUAUUGGUCAAUGGGCGCUAGCCUGAACCAGCCAAGUAGCGUGAAGGAUGAAGGCUCUAUGGGUCGUAAACUUCUUUUAUAUAAGAAUAAAGUGCAGUAUGUAUACUGUUUUGUAUGUAUUAUAUGAAUAAGGAUCGGCUAACUCCGUGCCAGCAGCCGCGGUAAUACGGAGGAUCCGAGCGUUAUCCGGAUUUAUUGGGUUUAAAGGGAGCGUAGGUGGACUGGUAAGUCAGUUGUGAAAGUUUGCGGCUCAACCGUAAAAUUGCAGUUGAUACUGUCAGUCUUGAGUACAGUAGAGGUGGGCGGAAUUCGUGGUGUAGCGGUGAAAUGCUUAGAUAUCACGAAGAACUCCGAUUGCGAAGGCAGCUCACUGGACUGCAACUGACACUGAUGCUCGAAAGUGUGGGUAUCAAACAGGAUUAGAUACCCUGGUAGUCCACACAGUAAACGAUGAAUACUCGCUGUUUGCGAUAUACAGUAAGCGGCCAAGCGAAAGCAUUAAGUAUUCCACCUGGGGAGUACGCCGGCAACGGUGAAACUCAAAGGAAUUGACGGGGGCCCGCACAAGCGGAGGAACAUGUGGUUUAAUUCGAUGAUACGCGAGGAACCUUACCCGGGCUUAAAUUGCAGUGGAAUGAUGUGGAAACAUGUCAGUGAGCAAUCACCGCUGUGAAGGUGCUGCAUGGUUGUCGUCAGCUCGUGCCGUGAGGUGUCGGCUUAAGUGCCAUAACGAGCGCAACCCUUAUCUUCAGUUACUAACAGGUCAUGCUGAGGACUCUGGAGAGACUGCCGUCGUAAGAUGUGAGGAAGGUGGGGAUGACGUCAAAUCAGCACGGCCCUUACGUCCGGGGCUACACACGUGUUACAAUGGGGGGUACAGAAGGCAGCUAGCGGGUGACCGUAUGCUAAUCCCAAAAGCCUCUCUCAGUUCGGAUCGAAGUCUGCAACCCGACUUCGUGAAGCUGGAUUCGCUAGUAAUCGCGCAUCAGCCACGGCGCGGUGAAUACGUUCCCGGGCCUUGUACACACCGCCCGUCAAGCCAUGGGAGCCGGGGGUACCUGAAGUACGUAACCGCAAGGAUCGUCCUAGGGUAAAACUGGUGACUGG
RNAcentral lists this ribosomal RNA (1432 nucleotides) under uncultured organism. Its description in RNAcentral is "16S ribosomal RNA". It matches the Rfam family "Bacterial small subunit ribosomal RNA". The record is from RNAcentral.